AAAUAGAUACCCCGGGGUAGUCCACGCCGUAAACGAUGAGUGCUAAGUGUUAGAGGGUUUUCCGCCCUUUUAGUGCUGCAGCUAACGCAUUAAGCACUCCGCCUGGGGAGUACGGUCGCAAGACUGAAACUCAAAGGAAUUGACGGGGGCCCGCACAAGCGGUGGAGCAUGUGGUUUAAUUCGAAGCAACGCGAAGAACCUUACCAGGUCUUGACAUCCCACUGACCGGUAUAGAGAUAUACCUUUCCCUUCGGGGACAGUGGUGACAGGUGGUGCAUGGUUGUCGUCAGCUCGUGUCGUGAGAUGUUGGGUUAAGUCCCGCAACGAGCGCAACCCUUGAUCUUAGUUGCCAGCAUUUAGUUGGGCACUCUAAGGUGACUGCCGGUGACAAACCGGAGGAAGGUGGGGAUGACGUCAAAUCAUCAUGCCCCUUAUGACCUGGGCUACACACGUGCUACAAUGGAUGGUACAAAGGGCUGCAAGACUGCGAAGUCAAGCCAAUCCCAUAAAACCAUUCUCAGUUCGGAUUGCAGG
RNAcentral lists this ribosomal RNA (534 nucleotides) under uncultured bacterium. RNAcentral describes it as "bacterial SSU rRNA". It matches the Rfam family "Bacterial small subunit ribosomal RNA", at positions 776 to 1304 of the family's 1533-position model. The record is from RNAcentral.